This 254-nucleotide long non-coding RNA is filed under the name Homo sapiens (human). RNAcentral describes it as "HSALNT0390023". The record is from RNAcentral. Lineage: Eukaryota; Metazoa; Chordata; Mammalia; Primates; Hominidae.
CACUUUGGGAGGCCAAGGUGGGUGGAUCACAAGGUCAGGAGAUCGAGACCAUCCUGGCUAACACGGUGAAACCCUGUCUCUACUAAAAAUACAAAAAAUUAGCUGGGCGUGGUGGUGAGCGCCUGUAGUCCCAGCUACUCGGGAGGCUGAGGCAGGAGAAUGGUGUGAACCUGGGAGGCAGAGCUUGCAGUGAGCCAAGAUCAUGCCACUGUACUCCAGCCUGGGCAACAGAGCGAGACUGUCUCCAAAAAAAA